This 253-nucleotide ribosomal RNA is filed under the name uncultured bacterium. Its description in RNAcentral is "partial 16S ribosomal RNA". It matches the Rfam family "Bacterial small subunit ribosomal RNA", at positions 524 to 776 of the family's 1533-position model. The record is from RNAcentral.
UACAGAGGUCUCAAGCGUUGUUCGGAUUCAUUGGGCGUAAAGGGUGCGUAGGCGGCGCGGUAAGUCGGGUGUGAAAUCUCGGAGCUUAACUCCGAAACUGCAUUCGAUACUGCCGUGCUUGAGGACUGGAGAGGAGACUGGAAUUUACGGUGUAGCGGUGAAAUGCGUAGAUAUCAGGAGGAAUACCGGUGGCGAAAGCGACUCUCUGGACGGUAACUGACGCUGAGGCACGAAAGCGUGGGGAGCAAACAGG